GCAGCUAACCGGCCUGCGGUUCUGCCGGCAACGGGACGGGGACAGGAAGUGAGUGUUCUAAACCAGGGCCUUCCAAGUUAUGACAGAUUCAUCAGACAAAUGAACCCGCGAGCACAGAGGGCCGCACCUCCCUGCGCGUCAGGCGAGAAGAGCCGCUCCAGCUCCGAGGGCAGAGGCGCCUUCCAGCCCUUCCCGGCCCUUCCCCGAGCUCCAGACUGAACGGAGCACAGGGCAGGGCCCGCGCUACCAGUCGAGAUAGGCCGUGCUGCCAGUAAAUGAACGAACACAGAAACGGGACAGGAAGCAGAGUCUGAAACGCCGAGGGCACGCCGCAGUCGGCCCAGGUGAGCGGGGAAGGCGGCCCGUCCGUCACCGGUUCACGGAAGAGCCCGCAGGAAGCUGCCGGCCAGCGAGAGGCUGGAGAAACGGGGUAUCCACGCGACUCAGCACAUCGCCCCACAGGUUUCUACUAAUUAUUGCUUACUAAUUUUGUGAGUUCAAAAUACGAAUUAAUUGACCUUAGGGUGGAGAAACCUGGCAGACGUGACCUUCACCGGGUGGCAAAUGUUCAUACCGCGUGCACUGGGACAGACAGAUGUCGUGCGCCUCCCGGUGCCACCACCAGGCAGAACAAUACGUCGUUUCUGGGAGAUUUCACCAAAAGCGCAGAAGUGGGGCCCAAUGAGGAGGAGACAUCACAGAAACCCAAACGGAGGGAUCGCUUACCGAAGAGACAGCGAGAGGGAACACAAGCAGGGGGAGCG
Molecule: long non-coding RNA, 764 nt
Organism: Neogale vison (American mink)
Lineage: Eukaryota; Metazoa; Chordata; Mammalia; Carnivora; Mustelidae
Exons: 3
Source: RefSeq, a predicted model, not a curated record